UACGUAGGGUGCGAGCGUUAAUCGGAAUUACUGGGCGUAAAGCGUGCGCAGGCGGUUCGUUAAGUUCGUUGUGAAAGCCCCGGGCUCAACCUGGGAACUGCAAUGGAAACUGGCGGGCUAGAGUGCGGCAGAGGGGGAUGGAAUUCCGCGUGUAGCAGUGAAAUGCGUAGAUAUGCGGAGGAACACCGAUGGCGAAGGCAAUCCCCUGGGCCUGCACUGACGCUCAUGCACGAAAGCGUGGGGAGCAGACAGG
RNAcentral lists this ribosomal RNA (253 nucleotides) under uncultured bacterium. Its description in RNAcentral is "partial 16S ribosomal RNA". It matches the Rfam family "Bacterial small subunit ribosomal RNA", at positions 524 to 776 of the family's 1533-position model. The record is from RNAcentral.